Vicugna pacos (alpaca) is the source of this 1699-nucleotide non-coding RNA. The record is from RefSeq and is a predicted model, not a curated record. Lineage: Eukaryota; Metazoa; Chordata; Mammalia; Artiodactyla; Camelidae.
GCUCGUCCCCGGCCCUCCCGGGGAUGCGAACCGGGUGACUGGGGGGGACGGCUGAAAGUGCUUUCUGGUUGUUUUUGUUUUGUUUCGUUUUGAAGGCUGUGCCCGCCUCUAAGUCGGAGGUUCUUCAACUUCAGCACGCGUCAGCGUCCCUUGGAGAGGCUGUGCUAACUCAGUGCUGGGCCCCACCCCGGAGUUUCGGACUCAGUAGGUCUGGGGUGCGGCACAAAGUAUUUGUAGCAAGGGCCUGCUGAUGCUGGAUCCACCGCCUGGGGUCUUUCGGGUCCUCCCCAGGCCAGUGAGGAACGCCGUAAUUGCAUUUCAACUUGGGGACUUGUAAGGAGGCACCAGACACAGCUGGCCUGUCUUCCUCUUGGAACAACUCCAAGAUUUGGGGGAAGGAGACACUUUACAGGCGGGGACGGGCCCAGGGAGCAGGUCCUGCGGUGGCGUGGGCCCAGCGCUGUUCCACUCUCUUCUCUUUGAUGGAAUCGUUAAAAGUCCCCACCCCCGUGGCACGCGAAAUAUAUUGGAGGAGACCAAGAUUAACCAGAGAACUGUACAAGACAGUCAGCUCCUGUGGCAGGUGCCAAGAAGGCAGCUCCAGCCUGGUCGAGGAGGCCGGGAAAGCCUCUGGGAAGGAGUGGGAGUUAACAGUGGGGCUGCCGGAAGGAACGUUUCCGCCACACAGAGGUCUUGGGGAGGUGGAGGGGUGUGCAAGUGUAGGGAGCACAUGGCACCUCCUUCCAGGAUCCCUAAGGCAGCCUCUGACUAUUGUAGUUGGCCUGGGGCUAGCCGGGCCAGCACACGGUUUCCCUCUCCCUUUGUCACUGGUGUCCCACGCCUCCCCCCCAGCAGCCUCCAUCUCAGAGCAGGCCGACCCCACUCUCCUCCAGCACAGCUUCCAUCCGAUGGAGGAGGAACCCCCUCCCUGCCCAGGGAGUUCAGGACCGAGCAAGUGACCCAGCCAGUGAGGUGACACGGGGAGCUUCCUUUUUCCCAUGAGAAGAUGCCACAUUACUGUAGCGCCCAAAACAGUCACAGCCACCUUGCUGUGUCAGAGGUGACGCGAUUCCUGAGCGUGGGAGAUGGAGGGCCCUCAAGGUGACACAGGCUCGAGCAGCUGAGGUGAUGUUUCUCAGUGUGAAGGCUGCUGCCCUUUGGAGCAGGAUAACUCCCUGUUGUGACCGCCUGCAGCAAACAUUUCUAAGAUCUUUAACGUCCGAGAGCCCUCCCCUCAAGAUGCUGCUAGCAGCCCCAGGAAUCCUGAGGACUGAGGACCCCGUACCCCCGCUUGCAAACAUCCCAGCUAAGGGGGUGGUAGGAGAACCAUGGAGCUCAGUCUUUGGACCUCCUACCAAGAGGGCUGAAGAAAAAAUACAGCCUUCUGGUUCAGUCGGCACGACUGAGCUUUCUGCUGCUUGCAGACCGGCUUCGUAACAGGAAGGCAGCACUAUGAUAAUUCUGAAAGGAGGAGUCAGCUGAGCCUCCCAGAGGGAUGAGUCCGGGGCUCCCCGAGCAGAGGUGGGCAAGCGGUCCCAUUCAGGCGGAGCUCCCGCGCCUCCUCCCCGCCUGCUCCCCCUCCGGUCACACGGAGGCGACUCUGAACUUCACUGUUUGGAGUUUUCUCCUUCCCACCAACUUCCCCCAUAAAAACAAACCUAGUUGGUUUGUUCCGUGGGGGGAAAAUGAACAAACAAAA